RNAcentral lists this long non-coding RNA (1966 nucleotides) under Chinchilla lanigera (long-tailed chinchilla). RNAcentral's name for it is "lncRNA (ENSCLAG00000023004.1)". Lineage: Eukaryota; Metazoa; Chordata; Mammalia; Rodentia; Chinchillidae. The record is from RNAcentral.
CCUCACCCCCUAUUGUUUUGUAUUUUACUUUGACAUAGGGUCCUACAAAGUCACUAAGUUGCUCAGGCUGGGCUCAAACCUGCAUUUCUCCUGCCUCAUUCCCAGAAUGCUAGGAUUAUAGGUGCUCAUCAUCAAGCCAGGCUAUCAGUGCUUGCCUCAAUGACUGAGAAAGGUACUUGUUGGAGCUCAGAAAAUGUAUACCAAAAUAUGCCACUUUGGACUUCAAGCUGGGGCACCAGAAGAUCUGCAAAGGCAGGAGAGGAGCAUUCUCUGAAGUUCCCCUAUUUAAGAGAAGUUCCUCAGAAUGAAGGCAGUUGUUUUGAGCAUCUUGCCUCUUAUCUUACCAAAGGGUGAAGUUUAGCUCCCAGGAAAGAACAGAGCUGAUAACACACCCAGAGCCCAGCUGAGUUUGUCCCUGGCAACUGUCUGUUUUGGGGCCCUUCAUUUACCUAAAAUUUAUUAACCCUCUGAAAUCACCCAUACCCCCCAGCUCCCUCUCUUCGAUGAAGGGCAUACAAGCUUCUAGAGCUCAUUAGGCUGUUGGUACUCACUCUUCUGUGAUGCCCCUGUGCACACUGUAUGCUAUUUUGCCUGUGAUUGGUGUAUUGUCAGCUUAUUUCAUCAAAUUCAAUGAUCAGACUUUAAGAGGAUGGAAGGGAAUUUUCCUUCAUUACUCCACAUCCAACAACAUAAUGUUCAUAGCAUCUAAAAUCUAACAAAAAUUACUAGAUAAGCCAAAAAAGCAUAAUAUCACAAACUGAACUGUAUCUAGAAGAAAAAAAUGAGUUAAUAAAAAUAGACCCAGAAAAAAAAAAAUAGACCCAGAAUGAUUAUGAGGAGGAAUGUGGUAAAAAAAAAAAGACUAUAAAAUCACUAUUAAACAUAUGUCAAGGGGGGCUGGGGAUUUAGCUCAGCGGCAAAGCGCCUGCCUGGCAAGCGCAACGUCGUGAGUUCGGUUCCCGGUACCGGAGAAAAACCAAAAAAAAAAAAAAAACAUAUGUCAAGGAAUGAAAGAAUAGGUCAAUGUAAUGAGGAAAGGAAUGGGUCUACAUACAAAAAUUCAUGAGUCAUUGCUGGGAAUAUACUGUAGCUCAAUGGUAGAACAAUCACUUAGUAUGCACAAGGCUCUGGGUUUAAUCCUCACUAUUGCAAACAAAACAAAAAUUCAUGAGACAGACUUAACAGCUGAUUAGAAUCUGCAGAAGGAAAGAUCAGUGAACUUGAAGACAUAACAAAUAAAAUUCGCUAAUGAAAUAUAGAAGGAAAAAUGGCUAGAAAAGUAAUAAGAGAUUUCUAAUUAUUUAUAAGGCACUUAUGUAUGUCUAAUUGGAAUUCCAAAAGAAUAGAGAGAGUAGAAAAAUAUUUGGAGAAAUAAUAGCCAAAAUUCUUAAAAAUCUGAUAAUAAUCAUAAAUCUACAGGCCCAAGAAUCUUAACAAAUCACAAUGAGGAUACAAAAAGAAAACCAUGCUGAUAUAUACCAUAAUCAAUUUGCCAGAAACCUAUAAUAAAGAGAAAACAAACAAAACAAUCUUAGUUAAAAAGGCACAUUAUAUAGAGAGGAACAGAUAUAAAACACAGAGACAGAUAACGAAUAUUUGUCUACUUUCAAAAGACAAAAAGAGAUAGCAGAAUUUUCAUUUAUUGGGGCUGGGGAUUUAGCUCAGCGGCAAAAGCGCCUGCCUGGCAAGCGCAAGGUCAUGAGUUCAGUUCCCAGUACCGGAGAAAAACCAAAAAAAAAAAAAAAAAAGAAUUUUCAUUUAUUUAGCAGAGAAAUGAUGUAUUAGUCAGCUUUUCAUCACGACAAUGUACUACCUGAUGCAGGUGACUUACAAAGUAAAGUUUACUUAACUCACAGUUGUGGAAGCUGAAAGUCCAAACAGCAUAACACAGGCUCUGGUGAAGGCCCUAUGGUGGGAACAAGUAUAGGACAGUGAUUAUAUCACAACCAGGAAGAGGAGAGAAAAG